GGGCCUACAGGCUACAAUGCACAACUCGAUCAACCAGGUUGCCCACAUGAGAUGAGAGAAAAUGUCGUCUGCAGAGGUGGCACGUUGUUGCGUGCACGGCUCAUUGCUGAACGUCCACCCGUCCGCGCUGCGGAUGUUGACCAUCGGCGACCAUGGUUGCGGAUGUUGAAACUUUGCAAGCAGCUAGGCACGAGGAAGAGAGAACCUUCCAG
This 212-nucleotide long non-coding RNA is filed under the name Brachypodium distachyon (stiff brome). RNAcentral's name for it is "long non-coding RNA (BDIS_LNC001283)". Lineage: Eukaryota; Viridiplantae; Streptophyta; Magnoliopsida; Poales; Poaceae. The record is from RNAcentral.